UACGUGGGUGACAAGCGUUGUCCGGAUUUACUGGGCGUAAAGAGCGCGCAGGCGGUCGUUCAAGUCGAGUGUGGAAGCCCCCGGCUCAACUGGGGAGGGUCAUUCGAUACUGAUCGACUCGAAGGCAGGAGAGGGUAGUGGAAUUCCCGGUGUAGUGGUGAAAUGCGUAGAUAUCGGGAGGAACACCAGUGGCGAAGGCGACUACCUGGCCUGUUCUUGACGCUGAGGCGCGAAAGCUAGGGGAGCAAACGGG
RNAcentral lists this ribosomal RNA (253 nucleotides) under uncultured bacterium. Its description in RNAcentral is "partial 16S ribosomal RNA". It matches the Rfam family "Bacterial small subunit ribosomal RNA", at positions 524 to 776 of the family's 1533-position model. The record is from RNAcentral.